Non-coding RNA from Nematostella vectensis (starlet sea anemone), 83 nucleotides. Lineage: Eukaryota; Metazoa; Cnidaria; Anthozoa; Actiniaria; Edwardsiidae. The record is from Rfam.
UUUGUGAUUGACUCCUAUCUGAAAAUUGUCAAAAGUGAAAGCACUAAUGUGGAGGUAUUUGGAUGGGAGGAAUUUGAGAGAGG